CUGAGACUGAUGACAGUGCUGAUUGGAAGGAGACCAGAGAACCUCAGUCAGCUUUAAACUCUCUGAAACAUGAUUCAAGAUGUAACAAAACAUUCAGCUGCUCUGAGUGUGGGAGAAGAUUUGGCUUCAAGUCAGAUCUUAAGAGACACAUGAGGACUCAUACAGGAGAAAAGCCUUUCAGCUGCUCUGAGUGUGGUAGAGCUUUCUCUGAUAGUGGAACCCUGAAGAAACACAUGAGUACUCACACAGAAACAGAAGCUGAUGGAGAGGACUGUGGAGGACCAGAACCAGCCAGGAACUCACAUCCACUUUUACAACCAGAGACUGAAGACCAGACUGGAGACUCUUCUGACCCUGAGGCUGAUGACAUGGAAUAACGUUUGUGCCUAUAAGUCCAAGCAAAACUUCUCAAGUGUCAAACAAAAAUGUGAGGUAGGAAAAGGUACACUCUUAUUUUAAAUGUUCUAUUAAUAUUGUUUUGUCUUGUAAUGUCUGUCAUUAUAAUCAAUUAUAAUCAAGAAAUCAGACAAAUGUCACCACCCAAUAUUUUAUAGGGCCUACACAUAUAUUCACUUCUUUCUAAGUAACGUAUGUUUAGCAAGAUUCACUAUUAAUCAUGUAUCAACAUGGGAGUUUAUUCAAUGCACAAUGGAUUAAUUUUUUUAUUUUGUGUAUUAUGUUUAAGCACAAUUUAGGCCCAGCAGUCUCUGAGAGGAGACUUUUCUCUCUGUGUCAGGGAGACAGGAAGUGCAGGUUGAAAGCUAUCUUUAGUUUAAACAAGGAAGAUAUGAGGGAGGUAGCAUAGGGAAGUUAGCCUAGCAAGGUGUUUCCUGUCAGAGAGCGGAGGAGUUUUCUCUUUGAAGCAAAGCUGAGAUGGACCUAUUAUGAUCUGUAUAUGAAACUAUAAAAACUCACUUGUGCAUUGCUAUAUUCUAAGGUAAUAUGAUCAGUGACACCAAAAUGAUUAAGGUCUUUUGACAUUUAUAAUGUCUCCUCUGCCACUAAUUAGACCAUGGAAAAGCUAAUAAAGUAAAGAAAUACAAUCGUUUGAUGUGACCGAUGUGGUACACCAGGACAUGCUGACUACCCUCCAGGAUGAAAUAAAGUGAAAUCAUUUGAAGUAAACCAUCUGUGAGAACUAGCAUGUACGUUAGUAGUUGUUGUCUGGGUCACAGCGACCUAGGUGUACUUAAGAAAAGGAAGAUGAGAGGACUGUUAAAAGUAAAAAUAUCACCAGUUCAGGUCCAUCUAAAGAUGUAACGAACAUAAGGGAACUGUGGCUGUGAAUGUUUCCAACUGACACCACCCUAAACACUGAAUAAGAAGAGAGUCAUGUGGAACUUAGAUUCAGUUGUCUAUUCGACUGACUAUCGCCGGUGGUCAGUUGAUGUGUCUGAGGCAGCUCGGUUUGUUUGUUAAAAUGUAACAAAUAAAUCUGCAUGGAGUGAAUAUCAA
Perca fluviatilis (European perch) is the source of this 1455-nucleotide long non-coding RNA. RefSeq lists it as uncharacterized. The transcript has 2 exons. NCBI's taxonomy places the organism in Eukaryota, Metazoa, Chordata, Actinopteri, Perciformes, Percidae. The record is from RefSeq and is a predicted model, not a curated record.